GAGUUUGAUCCUGGCUCAGAACGAAGGCGGGCGGCGCGCCUAAUACAUGCAAGUCGAACGAGAAUGUGUAGCAAUACACAUGUACAGUGGCGAACGGGUGAGGAUUACAUGGGUAACCUACCCUCGAGUGGGGAAUAACCAGCCGAAAGGUUGGCUAAUACCGCGUACGCUUCCGGGACUGCGGUUCCGGAAGGAAAGCGAUACCGUGGGUAUCGCGCUCUUGGAUGGGCUCAUGCCCUAUCAGCUUGUUGGUGAGGUAACGGCUCACCAAGGCUUCGACGGGUAGCUGAUCUGAGAGGAUGAUCAGCCACACUGGCACUGCGACACGGGCCAGACUCCUACGGGAGGCAGCAGUAAGGAAUAUUGCGCAAUGGGCGAAAGCCUGACGCAGCGACGCCGCGUGGGGGAUGAAGGUCUUCGGAUUGUAAACCCCUUUCGGGAGGGAAGAUGGGAUGGGGUAACCCAUUCGGACGGUACCUCCAGAAGCAGCCACGGCUAACUUCGUGCCAGCAGCCGCGGUAAUACGAAGGUGGCAAGCGUUGUUCGGAUUUACUGGGCGUACAGGGAGCGUAGGCGGUUGGAUAAGCCCUCCGUGAAAUCUCCAGGCUUAACCUGGAAAGUGCAGAGGGGACUGUUCAGCUAGAGGAUGGGAGAGGAGCGCGGAAUUCCCGGUGUAGCGGUGAAAUGCGUAGAGAUCGGGAGGAAGGCCGGUGGCGAAGGCGGCGCUCUGGAACAUUUCUGACGCUGAGGCUCGAAAGCGUGGGGAGCAAACAGGAUUAGAUACCCUGGUAGUCCACGCC
Molecule: ribosomal RNA, 800 nt
Filed under: uncultured soil bacterium
Lineage: Bacteria
Description: bacterial SSU rRNA
Rfam family: Bacterial small subunit ribosomal RNA
Source: RNAcentral